This 229-nucleotide ribosomal RNA is filed under the name uncultured Flavobacteriales bacterium. Its description in RNAcentral is "partial 16S ribosomal RNA". It matches the Rfam family "Bacterial small subunit ribosomal RNA", at positions 105 to 334 of the family's 1533-position model. The record is from RNAcentral. Lineage: Bacteria; Pseudomonadati; Bacteroidota; Flavobacteriia; Flavobacteriales.
GGUGCGUAACGCGUAUACAAUCUGCCUUUCACAUAGGGAUAGCCCGAAGAAAUUUGGAUUAAUACCUAAUGGUAUAUAGAAGUGGCAUCGCAUUUAUAUUAAAGCUGAGGCGGUGAAAGAUGAGUAUGCGUUCUAUUAGCUAGUUGGAGAGGUAACGGCUCCCCAAGGCUACGAUAGAUAGGGGUUCUGAGAGGGAUAUCCCCCACACUGGUACUGAGAUACGGACCAG